GCCAGCUGCCGCAAAAACCAGGGCUGUACAUCAGUUGGAGGGAGAGAUGGAGAGCCUGGUGACAGGUGGCAAUCACUGCUGUGCUAGGACACGCCCUUUGCAUCUGGCUACGUUCCAGAAAAUGAAUUCAGUGCUUCAGAAUUCUUCCUGGGUCAGGACAGCUGCUAGCGUGGAUGGGAAAAGGCCACGAUGGAUCGACUGAGUGCUGCUGGUCAGGUGUAACAAGUACUCAGGCAUGGCCUCUAGUGAUGACUGCAUGGGUAAGAGACCGUGUUGGGAAGCCAAAAGGAGAACCGCUUCCAUUUAGAGAGGUCUUGACCGGGAUGAUGGGGCCCUGGCAUCAGGGGGAACCCCCAGAGGUUCCAAAAGGGCCACCGUAUAGGCCUUUGACUGGUAGGCCAAGCGCUCCAUGGCACUCCUGUCCAGGAUCCACAGCGGGGUAGGGAUGGCAGGAGGGAUAAUGAGGGCUCCUCAGACGAGAAGGGUACCAGCCAACCACUGACUCCGACAAGCCUUCCUCCGGGAUCCAUGGAGGUGCACUUCCCACCAGUGCUGGAGAUGCUGGGGCGGGGAAGCUUGUGCCGAGACCAGCAAGGACGGUUUCCUUCUAGGUGGUAUCGUGGAGCCUCGAACUGGAUAGCAGCUGGAGGUUACCCGUUCCCUCCUGCCUGCCGGCACCAAUGCCGCCAAUCUUGUACAGCAGGCAACGGUGGUACUGAGAGCACCAGCAGAGCUCUGGCCGCAGCAAAUGCCUCCAGAGUGGAUGGCACCACAGUGGCGCCGGUGCUGCACUUUCCCGCCGGUGCAGAGGGCUCAUCUGGAACUAGACUUAACAGUUCCUGUGUACGGGUCAGAGUUAACAGUGCUGCCUGCCAUGCCGAGGCAGAGGAGUGUCCUGACUUUAGUUGCCCUCUGCUCUGUUCCCCAUGCCUGGUCUUGUUUGGAGUUGGGGAACAUCCUCUCUCAGCCAUCUGCUUUCUAUGCUGCUUUCUCUGCUCCAGGGAUGGUGAAUGGUGCCAAGACUCCUGUAGACUGGGAGGAGUGCUCUGCACCAACGCUGAGGUACUCAGUGGCGAGUCUGAGCGGCUUGGUCAGAGGAAGGUCUGAGCACUCCUUCCAUCAAUAGGAAGUUUAGCCUGGCCUCUCGGUCCUUCUUCGUACGAGGUUUAAACUCAUGGCAGAUCUGACAGCGAUCCCCGAUGUGAGCUUCCCCCCCCGAGCACUUUAGACCACUAGAGUGCGGGUCGCGCAAAGGCAUAGCCUUGUUGCAGGAGGCACAGGGCUUGAAGCCUGGUGACAAAGGUAUGCCUCAGCACUGGGGACAGGCCAAAACUCCGCUAAGUUACAGAGAAGUGCCAGCAAAACU
Mauremys reevesii (Reeves's turtle) is the source of this 1366-nucleotide long non-coding RNA. RefSeq lists it as uncharacterized. NCBI's taxonomy places the organism in Eukaryota, Metazoa, Chordata, Testudines, Geoemydidae. The transcript has 4 exons. The record is from RefSeq and is a predicted model, not a curated record.